RNAcentral lists this non-coding RNA (453 nucleotides) under Mesobacillus campisalis. RNAcentral's name for it is "Bacillus campisalis Bacterial large subunit ribosomal RNA". It matches the Rfam family "Bacterial large subunit ribosomal RNA", at positions 2474 to 2925 of the family's 2925-position model. The record is from Rfam by way of RNAcentral. Lineage: Bacteria; Bacillati; Bacillota; Bacilli; Caryophanales; Bacillaceae.
AUAACAGGCUUAUCUCCCCCAAGAGUCCACAUCGACGGGGAGGUUUGGCACCUCGAUGUCGGCUCAUCGCAUCCUGGGGCUGUAGUCGGUCCCAAGGGUUGGGCUGUUCGCCCAUUAAAGCGGUACGCGAGCUGGGUUCAGAACGUCGUGAGACAGUUCGGUCCCUAUCCGUCGUGGGCGCAGGAAAUUUGAGAGGAGCUGUCCUUAGUACGAGAGGACCGGGAUGGACGCACCGCUGGUGUACCAGUUGUCUUGCCAAAGGCAUCGCUGGGUAGCUAUGUGCGGACGGGAUAAGUGCUGAAAGCAUCUAAGCAUGAAGCCCCCCUCAAGAUGAGAUUUCCCAUAGCGUCAAGCUAGUAAGAUCCCUGAAAGAUGAUCAGGUUGAUAGGUCAGAGGUGGAAGCGCGGUGACGUGUGGAGCUGACUGAUACUAAUCGAUCGAGGACUUAACCAA